This 86-nucleotide transfer RNA is filed under the name Thermoleophilia bacterium. RNAcentral's name for it is "tRNA-Leu". It matches the Rfam family "tRNA". Rfam says of the family: Transfer RNA (tRNA) molecules are approximately 80 nucleotides in length. Their secondary structure includes four short double-helical elements and three loops (D, anti-codon, and T loops). Further hydrogen bonds mediate the characteristic L-shaped molecular structure. tRNAs have two regions of fundamental functional importance: the anti-codon, which is responsible for specific mRNA codon recognition, and the 3' end, to which the tRNAs corresponding amino acid is attached (by aminoacyl-tRNA synthetases). tRNAs cope with the degeneracy of the genetic code in two manners: having more than one tRNA (with a specific anti-codon) for a particular amino acid; and 'wobble' base-pairing, i.e. permitting non-standard base-pairing at the 3rd anti-codon position. The record is from RNAcentral. Lineage: Bacteria; Bacillati; Actinomycetota; Thermoleophilia. RNAcentral also lists the same sequence under 1 other name.
GCGCCUGUGGCGGAAUUGGUAGACGCGCAAGGUUGAGGGCCUUGUGACCCAUAUGGGUCGUGGAGGUUCAAGUCCUCUCGGGCGCA